AUUUAGGCAAGGUUGAGGUCAGUUAGAACGCCUAACUGGUUUUGUCUGCUCAGGGGUUCUUCAGGCCUGGUCUCUAUUUUAAUAUUUAGCUCAGGUAAGGUAAUUAUGCUGGGGUUUCACAGUAAUCUAUUAUAGUCUGGAAAAUUAAGUCUUCCUGGAAUACAACAGGACCUCACCGCAGAUGUCAAAUACGAGUCCACCAGCUUAAGGGUCCCUGGUGAGGAUGACAGAAACUUGAGAAGCUACACUUAUCAAACAUCCCACAACCUAACUCAUGAAAGUUGGCUGAGACGCCUAAGUGCUGAGCGUCGGAGGCUGUCACUUGUUUAUGAUCCACAUAUCAGAGUGCUUGUUUCUGCCACGUCUCCAGCCCGGGAGUACUGCAGGGCCCUGGGGCUCUUUACCCACGUGCACACCCUCAGUCAGGGGCAGCAAAGUUUUUGUGCG
This 447-nucleotide long non-coding RNA is filed under the name Homo sapiens (human). Its description in RNAcentral is "LHRI_LNC762.1". The record is from RNAcentral. Lineage: Eukaryota; Metazoa; Chordata; Mammalia; Primates; Hominidae.